AACGAACGCUGGCGGCAUGCCUAACACAUGCAAGUCGAACGAGACCUCCGGGUCUAGUGGCGCACGGGUGCGUAACGCGUGGGAACCUGCCCUUAGGUUCGGAAUAACUCUCCGAAAGGGGUGCUAAUACCGGAUAAUGUCUUCGGACCAAAGAUUUAUCGCCUUUGGAGGGGCCCGCGUUGGAUUAGCUAGUUGGUAGGGUAAAAGCAUACUAAGGCGACGAUCCAUAGCUGGUCUGAGAGAAUGAUCAGCCACACUGGGACUGAGACACGGCCCAGACUCCUACGGGAGGGAGGAGUGGCGAAUAUUGCACAGUGGGCGGAGGCCUGAUCCAGCAAUGCCGGGUAAGUGAUGAAAGCCUUAGGGUUGUAAAGCUCUUUUACCCGGGAUGAUAAUGACAGUACCGGGAGAGUAAGCUCCGGCUAACUCCGUG
Molecule: ribosomal RNA, 433 nt
Filed under: uncultured bacterium
Lineage: Bacteria
Description: partial 16S ribosomal RNA
Rfam family: Bacterial small subunit ribosomal RNA
Source: RNAcentral